GAGUUUGAUCAUGGCUCAGAUUGAACGCUGGCGGCAGGCCUAACACAUGCAAGUCGAACGGUAACAGGAAACAGCUUGCUGUUUCGCUGACGAGUGGCGGACGGGUGCGUAAUGUCUGGGAAGCUGCCUGAUGGAGGGGGAUAACUACUGGAAACGGUAGCUAAUACCGCAUAACGUCGCAAGACCAAAGAGGGGGACCUUCGGGCCUCUUGCCAUCGGAUGUGCCCAGAUGGGAUUAGCUAGUAGGUGGGGUAACGGCUCACCUAGGCGACGAUCCCUAGCUGGUCUGAGAGGAUGACCAGCCACACUGGAACUGAGACACGGUCCAGACUCCUACGGGAGGCAGCAGUGGGGAAUAUUGCACAAUGGGCGCAAGCCUGAUGCAGCCAUGCCGCGUGUAUGAAGAAGGCCUUCGGGUUGUAAAGUACUUUCAGCGGGGAGGAAGGGAGUAAAGUUAAUACCUUUGCUCAUUGACGUUACCCGCAGAAGAAGCACCGGCUAACUCCGUGCCAGCAGCCGCGGUAAUACGGAGGGUGCAAGCGUUAAUCGGAAUUACUGGGCGUAAAGCGCACGCAGGCGGUUUGUUAAGUCAGAUGUGAAAUCCCCGGGCUCAACCUGGGAACUGCAUCUGAUACUGGCAAGCUUGAGUCUCGUAGAGGGGGGUAGAAUUCCAGGUGUAGCGGUGAAAUGCGUAGAGAUCUGGAGGAAUACCGGUGGCGAAGGCGGCCCCCUGGACGAAGACUGACGCUCAGGUGCGAAAGCGUGGGGAGCAAACAGGAUUAGAUACCCUGGUAGUCCACGCCGUAAACGAUGUCGACUUGGAGGUUGUGCCCUUGAGGCGUGGCUUCCGGAGCUAACGCGUUAAGUCGACCGCCUGGGGAGUACGGCCGCAAGGUUAAAACUCAAAUGAAUUGACGGGGGCCCGCACAAGCGGUGGAGCAUGUGGUUUAAUUCGAUGCAACGCGAAGAACCUUACCUGGUCUUGACAUCCACAGAACUUUCCAGAGAUGGAUUGGUGCCUUCGGGAACUGUGAGACAGGUGCUGCAUGGCUGUCGUCAGCUCGUGUUGUGAAAUGUUGGGUUAAGUCCCGCAACGAGCGCAACCCUUAUCCUUUGUUGCCAGCGGUCCGGCCGGGAACUCAAAGGAGACUGCCAGUGAUAAACUGGAGGAAGGUGGGGAUGACGUCAAGUCAUCAUGGCCCUUACGACCAGGGCUACACACGUGCUACAAUGGCGCAUACAAAGAGAAGCGACCUCGCGAGAGCAAGCGGACCUCAUAAAGUGCGUCGUAGUCCGGAUUGGAGUCUGCAACUCGACUCCAUGAAGUCGGAAUCGCUAGUAAUCGUGGAUCAGAAUGCCACGGUGAAUACGUUCCCGGGCCUUGUACACACCGCCCGUCACACCAUGGGAGUGGGUUGCAAAAGAAGUAGGUAGCUUAACCUUCGGGAGGGCGCUUACCACUUUGUGAUUCAUGACUGGGGUGAAGUCGUAACAAGGUAACCGUAGGGGAACCUGCGGUUGGAUCACC
Molecule: ribosomal RNA, 1528 nt
Filed under: Escherichia coli DEC12C
Lineage: Bacteria; Pseudomonadati; Pseudomonadota; Gammaproteobacteria; Enterobacterales; Enterobacteriaceae
Description: bacterial SSU rRNA
Rfam family: Bacterial small subunit ribosomal RNA
Source: RNAcentral